CAUGAAAGCGUGGGGAGCAAAUAGGAUUAGAUACCCUAGUAGUCCACGCCGUAAACGAUGAGGACCAAGUGUUGGGGGUGAAACCUCAGUGCUGAAGUUAACGCAGUGAGUCCUCCGCCUGGGGAGUAUGCACGCAAGUGUGAAACUCAAAGGAAUUGACGGGGGCCCGCACAAGCGGUGGAGUAUGUGGUUUAAUUUGAAGCAACGCGAAGAACCUUACCAGGCCUUGACAUGGGAUGCGAAGACGCAGAGAUGCGUUGGAGGUCAACAUCCACACAGGUGGUGCAUGGUUGUCGUCAGCUCGUGUCGUGAGAUGUUGGGUCAAGUCCCGCAACGAGCGCAACCCUUGUGGCAUGUUGCUAACAGGAAAGCUGAGGACUCAUGCCAGACUGCCGGUGACAAACCGGAGGAAGGCGGGGAUGACGUCAAAUCAUCAUGCCCCUUAUGGCCUGGGCUACACACGUACUACAAUGGCGGCUACAAAGAGCGGCGAGACAGUAAUGUCGAGCGAAUCUCAUAAAAGCCGUCCCAGUUCGGAUUGGAGCCUGCAACCCGGCUCCAUGAAGUUGGAAUCGCUAGUAAUCGCGGAUCAGCAUGCCGCGGUGAAUACGUUCCCGGGCCUUGCACUCACCGCCCGUCAAG
RNAcentral lists this ribosomal RNA (642 nucleotides) under uncultured bacterium. Its description in RNAcentral is "bacterial SSU rRNA". It matches the Rfam family "Bacterial small subunit ribosomal RNA", at positions 752 to 1401 of the family's 1533-position model. The record is from RNAcentral.